RNAcentral lists this ribosomal RNA (470 nucleotides) under uncultured bacterium. Its description in RNAcentral is "partial 16S ribosomal RNA". It matches the Rfam family "Bacterial small subunit ribosomal RNA", at positions 28 to 507 of the family's 1533-position model. The record is from RNAcentral.
GACGAACGCUGGCGGCGUGCUUAACACAUGCAAGUCGAACGCUGAAGCACCAGCUUGCUGGUGUGGAUGAGUGGCGAACGGGUGAGUAAUACGUGAGUAACCUGCCCUUGACUCUGGGAUAAGCCCGGGAAACUGGGUCGAAUACUGGAUGCUACAUGUCACCGCAUGGUGGUGUGUGGAAAGGGUUUACUGGUCUUGGAUGGGCUCACGGCCUAUCAGCUUGUUGGUGAGGUAAUGGCUCACCAAGGCGACGACGGGUAGCCGGCCUGGGAGGGUGACCGGCCACACUGGGACUGCGACACGGCCCAGACGCCUACGGGAGGCAGCAGUGGAGAGUAUUGCACAAUGGGCGAAAGCCUGAUGCAGCGACGCCGCGUGAGGGAUGACGGCCUUCGGGUUGUAAACCUCGUUCAGCAGGGAAGAAGCCACAAGUGACGGUACCUGCAGAAGAAGCGCCGGCUAACUACGUG